CGACGAGUUCUCGUUGAUCUCGGUGCUUGCACCGAGAUUCAACAUGGAACGAGUGGCGGACGGGUGAGUAACACGUGGGUAACCUGCCCUUAAGUGGGGGAUAACAUUUGGAAACAGAUGCUAAUACCGCAUAGAUCCAAGAACCGCAUGGUUCUUGGCUGAAAGAUGGCGUAAGCUAUCGCUUUUGGAUGGACCCGCGGCGUAUUAGCUAGUUGGUGAGGUAAUGGCUCACCAAGGCGAUGAUACGUAGCCGAACUGAGAGGUUGAUCGGCCACAUUGGGACUGAGACACGGCCCAAACUCCUACGGGAGGCAGCAGUAGGGAAUCUUCCACAAUGGACGCAAGUCUGAUGGAGCAACGCCGCGUGAGUGAAGAAGGCUUUCGGGUCGUAAAACUCUGUUGUUGGAGAAGAAUGGUCGGCAGAGUAACUGUUGUCGGCGUGACGGUAUCCAACCAGAAAGCCACGGCUAACUACGUGCCAGCAGCCGCGGUAAUACGUAGGUGGCAAGCGUUAUCCGGAUUUAUUGGGCGUAAAGCGAGCGCAGGCGGUUUUUUAAGUCUGAUGUGAAAGCCCUCGGCUUAACCGAGGAAGCGCAUCGGAAACUGGGAAACUUGAGUGCAGAAGAGGACAGUGGAACUCCAUGUGUAGCGGUGAAAUGCGUAGAUAUAUGGAAGAACACCAGUGGCGAAGGCGGCUGUCUGGUCUGUAACUGACGCUGAGGCUCGAAAGCAUGGGUAGCGAACAGGAUUAGAUACCCUGGUAGUCCAUGCCGUAAACGAUGAAUGCUAGGUGUUGGAGGGUUUCCGCCCUUCAGUGCCGCAGCUAACGCA
RNAcentral lists this ribosomal RNA (831 nucleotides) under uncultured bacterium. Its description in RNAcentral is "bacterial SSU rRNA". It matches the Rfam family "Bacterial small subunit ribosomal RNA", at positions 60 to 859 of the family's 1533-position model. The record is from RNAcentral.